Long non-coding RNA from Nematostella vectensis (starlet sea anemone), 188 nucleotides. RefSeq lists it as uncharacterized. NCBI's taxonomy places the organism in Eukaryota, Metazoa, Cnidaria, Anthozoa, Actiniaria, Edwardsiidae. The transcript has 2 exons. The record is from RefSeq and is a predicted model, not a curated record.
GCAGACUUGCAAACAAGGUAACAAAGCCAGAUGCAGACUUGCAAACAAGGUAACAAAGCCAGAUGCAGACUUGCAAACAAGGUAUGAUGUUAACUUUCAGCCCCAGGCGUGAAUGGUUAUUUUUCUUGUGAGGUGUUUCUUGAGCAACAGGGACUACCACCAAGUUUUAGGAGAGCUAGAGCCAAUCA